Molecule: ribosomal RNA, 775 nt
Filed under: uncultured Neocallimastigales
Lineage: Eukaryota; Fungi; Neocallimastigomycota; Neocallimastigomycetes; Neocallimastigales
Description: partial large subunit ribosomal RNA
Rfam family: Eukaryotic large subunit ribosomal RNA
Source: RNAcentral
UACGACUACAUAUCAGGCAUAUCAAUAAGCGGAGGAAAAGAAACUAACAAGGAUUCCCUUAGUAACGGCGAGUGAAGCGGGAAGAGCUCAAAUUUGAAAUCUUCAAGGUUCUACCUUGACGAAUUGUAGUUUAUAGAAGUGUUUUCUGUUAGUGGAGUGGCAAAAGUUCUUUGGGAUAGGACAUCAUAGAGGGUGAGAAUCCCGUAUUUGGUCAUUCCUCCUAGCGUUGUGAUACACUUUCAACGAGUCGGAUUGUUUGGGAAUGCAGUCCAAAAUGGGUGGUAAAUUUCAUCUAAAGCUAAAUAUUGGCGAGAGACCGAUAGCGAACAAGUACCGUGAGGGAAAGAUGAAAAGAACUUUGAAAGGAGAGUUAAACAGUACGUGAAAUUGUCAAAAGGGAAGCGUUUGACACCAGUGUUGUUUUUCCGAAAAUCAAUUACGAAUGUUUUGUUUUUGAGGAGUUAUGACUUCAUCGGCUUGCUCCUUUCUUUACGAAACUUUCUUAAUGCACUUUUCGGUUAACAAGUCAACAUCAAUUUCUUUUGUUGUAAAAGAGUAUGAGGAAGGUGGCUUUCUUUUCGGAGAAAGUGUUUAUAGCCUUGUGCCUCCUGCAAUCGGAGAGAUUGAGGUCUGCAGCGUAGAUCCUUCGGGGUUAGAUACAUUUGUGCUAAGUUAUAGCCUUUCAUAGACAACUUGUUGACUAUGAUCAGUCAUGUAGCUUACUCGCUUAUGCUAUUUUACCUACGCUUAGGAUGUUGACGCGCGUGUGUGCGUG